GCCGGUGUGGUGGAAUGGCAGACACGCCUGACUCAAAAUCAGGUCCGAAAGGGUGGAGGUUCGAGUCCUCUCAUCGGUA
RNAcentral lists this transfer RNA (79 nucleotides) under Bacillus cereus. Its description in RNAcentral is "tRNA-Leu". It matches the Rfam family "tRNA". Rfam says of the family: Transfer RNA (tRNA) molecules are approximately 80 nucleotides in length. Their secondary structure includes four short double-helical elements and three loops (D, anti-codon, and T loops). Further hydrogen bonds mediate the characteristic L-shaped molecular structure. tRNAs have two regions of fundamental functional importance: the anti-codon, which is responsible for specific mRNA codon recognition, and the 3' end, to which the tRNAs corresponding amino acid is attached (by aminoacyl-tRNA synthetases). tRNAs cope with the degeneracy of the genetic code in two manners: having more than one tRNA (with a specific anti-codon) for a particular amino acid; and 'wobble' base-pairing, i.e. permitting non-standard base-pairing at the 3rd anti-codon position. The record is from RNAcentral. RNAcentral also lists the same sequence under 2 other names. Lineage: Bacteria; Bacillati; Bacillota; Bacilli; Caryophanales; Bacillaceae.